Molecule: unclassified non-coding RNA, 331 nt
Filed under: uncultured Glomeraceae
Lineage: Eukaryota; Fungi; Glomeromycota; Glomeromycetes; Glomerales; Glomeraceae
Description: sequence contains 5.8S rRNA gene, ITS2, 28S rRNA gene
Source: RNAcentral
UCCUCCGCUUAUUGAUAUGCUUAAGUUCAGCGGGUAUUCCUACCUGAUUUGAGGUCAUAUCAUGAAAUGAUUAUAGGUAUGAAACCAUGAUCAAUGGUCAUCCUAAUAAAACGUCCGAUAUUAUUCAUCAAGCGCAAUAAAAGAAAUCUUAAGUACGCUCAAAUCAUACCAAAAUGAUCAAUUUUAAGCCUCUUGAAUCAUAAGAUACAAGAUAGCUCAAUUCCGAAAUGUUACAAAAGAAACAAAUCGAUUUUUAUUUUAACGACCCUCAAACAGGCACACUCUUCGAAAUCGAAGAGUGCAAUUUGCGUUCAAAAAUUCGAUAAUUCAC